AGAACACGCCGCCGCCCCCACAUCACACACCGCCGCUCCAACCAUCUUCCCGCGCGCCACCGGAUCUCGCCGCCACACUUCCGCCAUGGUCACGCUCGCUCUGAGCCCCAACUGCCACUGCCGCUGCAGUCCUGGGCCACCGUCUACCGCAGUCCCCAGCUUGCUGCCGCCGAAGGAGCGGUCAACCCAGCAACGCUUCUCUGUGGUAACGUGUGCAUGAUUAGUCUGAAUGCUUGCAUGUGAAGUGCCAACAAAGAUAUAUAGCAACAGCCGGUCGAGUCAAAUGAGGCUUGGUGGAGUGAGAAAUAAAGCUAAUCACAAGCAAAAGUGAAUGACAGAGAUGGUGUGCUGAAUGGAGCCUAAACCUGCUGAUGGAAAGAUAUAUAGCAACUAUUCUUUACACGUUCUACUGAUAUGAGACGUGUGUGUCUACGGAUUUGAGGGAUUUGCAAUAAAAUUCCAAUUUUUGUCCUUCUACGUCCAUGAGCUAAUUUCUGGGUGUGCUGCUUGUGUGAUGUGAUGUACCGUAUGCUGUAUAGAUUUUUAUGAAGUUCCUCUUGUGAACCGAA
Triticum dicoccoides is the source of this 569-nucleotide long non-coding RNA. RefSeq lists it as uncharacterized. The transcript has 2 exons. NCBI's taxonomy places the organism in Eukaryota, Viridiplantae, Streptophyta, Magnoliopsida, Poales, Poaceae. The record is from RefSeq and is a predicted model, not a curated record.